RNAcentral lists this small RNA (107 nucleotides) under Marmota monax (woodchuck). Lineage: Eukaryota; Metazoa; Chordata; Mammalia; Rodentia; Sciuridae. The record is from RNAcentral.
GCAGGGCAUGGUGGUGCAUGCCUGUAAUCCCAGUGACUCAGGAGGCUGAGACAAGAGGAUCAAAAGUUUGAGUCUGGCCCCAGCAAUGUAGUGAGACCCUGUCUCAA